This 837-nucleotide ribosomal RNA is filed under the name Mycobacterium sp. RNAcentral describes it as "bacterial SSU rRNA". It matches the Rfam family "Bacterial small subunit ribosomal RNA", at positions 107 to 928 of the family's 1533-position model. Lineage: Bacteria; Bacillati; Actinomycetota; Actinomycetes; Mycobacteriales; Mycobacteriaceae. The record is from RNAcentral.
UGAGUAACACGUGGGCAAUCUGCCCUGCACUUCGGGAUAAGCCUGGGAAACUGGGUCUAAUACCGGAUAGGACCUUUAGACGCAUGUCUUUUGGUGGAAAGCUUUUGCGGUGUGGGAUGGGCCCGCGGCCUAUCAGCUUGUUGGUGGGGUGAUGGCCUACCAAGGCGACGACGGGUAGCCGGCCUGAGAGGGUGUCCGGCCACACUGGGACUGAGAUACGGCCCAGACUCCUACGGGAGGCAGCAGUGGGGAAUAUUGCACAAUGGGCGCAAGCCUGAUGCAGCGACGCCGCGUGGGGGAUGACGGCCUUCGGGUUGUAAACCUCUUUCACCAUCGACGAAGGUCCGGGUUUUCUCGGAUUGACGGUAGGUGGAGAAGAAGCACCGGCCAACUACGUGCCAGCAGCCGCGGUAAUACGUAGGGUGCGAGCGUUGUCCGGAAUUACUGGGCGUAAAGAGCUCGUAGGUGGUUUGUCGCGUUGUUCGUGAAAUCUCACGGCUUAACUGUGAGCGUGCGGGCGAUACGGGCAGACUAGAGUACUGCAGGGGAGACUGGAAUUCCUGGUGUAGCGGUGGAAUGCGCAGAUAUCAGGAGGAACACCGGUGGCGAAGGCGGGUCUCUGGGGCAGUAACUGACGCUGAGGAGCGAAAGCGUGGGGGAGCGAACAGGAUUAGAUACCCCUGGUAGUCCACGCCCGUAAACGGUGGGUACUAGGUGUGGGGUUUCCUUCCUUGGGGAUCCCGUGCCGUANCUAACGCAUUUAAGUACCCCCGCCUGGGGGAGUACGGCCGCAAAGGCUAAAAACUCAAAGGGAAUUUGACGGGGGGCCCCGCACAA